This 62-nucleotide transfer RNA is filed under the name Laevipilina antarctica. Its description in RNAcentral is "tRNA-Asp". The record is from RNAcentral. Lineage: Eukaryota; Metazoa; Mollusca; Monoplacophora; Tryblidiida; Neopilinidae.
CAUUAGGAUAGUUAAUUUAUAAUAUAAGAUUGUCAUUCUUCUGUUCCUCUAAAGGGCCUAAU